Long non-coding RNA from Mastomys coucha (southern multimammate mouse), 319 nucleotides. RefSeq lists it as uncharacterized. The record is from RefSeq and is a predicted model, not a curated record. The transcript has 2 exons. Lineage: Eukaryota; Metazoa; Chordata; Mammalia; Rodentia; Muridae.
AGGCACAACUGGGGAACCCUCUGCGGAGGCUCCACUGUCACAACCUUCUGGUUCCUGCGCAGCACCUCUGGCGAGUCAUGGGGUCCAGUUCCAUGGCUGGAGGUGUAUAUUUAUAGGAAAACCGUAACAUUCCUUAUAUUGGGUCUGGCAAUCUCUGGAAGUUCCCGCAACCUCUGGGCACCCUGGAUAAGUGGUGGACAACAAUUUUCCUCAACACAGUGUUCUAGACCCUUCCUAGAAGAAUCUCCUCAAACAAUAUAUGCUACUUGGUAGAAGUCCAGACUCCUUGGAUCCAAUAAAGCUAUAUAACUCAGAAUGA